This 484-nucleotide ribosomal RNA is filed under the name uncultured bacterium. Its description in RNAcentral is "partial 16S ribosomal RNA". It matches the Rfam family "Bacterial small subunit ribosomal RNA", at positions 30 to 507 of the family's 1533-position model. The record is from RNAcentral.
AUUGAACGCUGGCGGCAGGCCUAACACAUGCAAGUCGAGCGGAUGAAGGGAGCUUGCUCCUGGAUUCAGCGGCGGACGGGUGAGUAAUGCCUAGGAAUCUGCCUGGUAGUGGGGGAUAACGUCCGGAAACGGGCGCUAAUACCGCAUACGUCCUGAGGGAGAAAGUGGGGGAUUUUCGGACCUCACGCUAUCAGAUGAGCCUAGGUCGGAUUAGCUAGUUGGUGGGGUAAAGGCCUACCAAGGCGACGAUCCGUAACUGGUCUGAGAGGAUGAUCAGUCACACUGGAACUGAGGCACGGUCCAGACUCCUACGGGAGGCAGCAGUGGGGAAUAUUGGACAAUGGGCGAAAGCCUGAUCCAGCCAUGCCGCGUGUGUGAAGAAGGUCUUCGGAUUGUAAAGCACUUUAAGUUGGGAGGAAGGGCAGUAAGUUAAUACCUUGCUGUUUUGACGUUACCAACAGAAUAAGCACCGGCUAACUUCGUG